UUUUUAGGAAGAAUUAAUAUCACCUUGCAUUAGUAGUUCUUGACAUACUCGUACUUAAGACAUUGUGAGGAUCACCAUGAUGUUAAGGUAAAUGACGCCAUUGCACAGUAGUGCUCAGUUCUUCACUGUACACCUCAUGCAGUCACCCAGUAGGGUAGGGGGCUUUCAGUUUGUUCAGUGCAGGUUGUCUUGGGUGAGGUAGUGCUCAGUGAUUUUCAGUGUGUCGCUGUUAGGCAGUUAUCUGCCUGCCUUUGUUGGGGGGAGGGGGGGUCGCUUUCAGGUCUGACGUGAGGAUGCAGGGAUUCCCAGCGGCGACACAUUCCCUCCUCACAUUGCCGCCUUUUCUCCUGGUCUGCCUCCACCGUAACACAAGUAGACUGAUGUACAUUUUUGCUACAUUAGUUGUCUUAAUUGGCACAUCCACCAAUGCCCUUUCUACGCUACUCUUUUGGUUACUUUGUUUACUUAUCUAUACUGGUCUUUGGAGACAGUCUGCGAUCUUAAAGCACCUAUUUUGGUGGAACCAGUUGAUUUCUGUGUAAUGUUGCUUAAUACAUUUAUAGUUGUUUUUAUGCUUGUGAAAGAGCUUUGGACUUCUAAGCAAUCGCCAAGAUUGGGCACAAAACAGCCCUGUCGGACAUGGCCACCCCCGGAAGGCAGGCUGCUUUCAGCCAGCCGCCCCAAACCCGUCUCUAAACUGCUGCUUCGGCACCAUCCUUUGGGUUUCAAAUUCUGAAGCAGUGACCUCCCUUGUCUGGCCUCGGCUGACUUUCCCUUCGGUUGUGUGGCAAGACUUGUUGUUCCUCCCAGUUGUUCAACUUUCCAAUCUUGAAAAUUGCAUGCACCCUGUGAUGGUUCUCCAUUUAUUACCUUUUAACUAAUGUGCUUUUAAUCCAGUCAGGGUGUGAGAACAGACCUGGCUUCCAACAUUAAUAUCCUCUGUCGUUCGGCCGUGCAGAUCCCUCCGCGCUUUCGACGUGCCUUUCUGACGGGCUGAUGGCGAUUUCGUUAGUUUGUGUUUUGUUCUCCAGGACACAGCACUCCAAUGCAGGGCCGCUUCCCCAUUCGCUUCGAGUCUGCAUUUAUAUUAAAUGACCUCUAUGGAUCGGUAAUGCGAAGAUCUGUGAGAACUGCUUACCAAUGCUGAGCUGAUUAUCGCUUACUAUUUCUAAGAUGUAACUGAGCACUGGAUUCACCGUUCAUCAUUAACCCCCACCCCACCCCCCACCAUGGAAAGGCUGUGGUCGGCACCAGUUCUUCCUGAAAACAUUGUAACUAUGUAGCGCGCUUCGUGACGACGUCUCGACAGCGAUUAGCCAGAUUCCUGACCCUCCUGACUCUCAGGCCGCUGCCUUGAUCAUUGAUCCCUGACGGAAACACGUUUGAGAUUCGCUCCAUUUUGAAAAUGGAUUCUCUCCUGGUCACUCCGCUUUCACUAGCCACGCACGAACACACACAGCUUCCCCGCGCCGGUCACUCAACCUGGUGAGCGGUCUGACAGGGGUGCCCCCCCCCCAGCAAAUGGUUUGAGGAACAGUGAGAUUGGUUAUCCCACUUAUGCUCCUGUUUUCUCAGUAGUAAGAUGUUCUCUUAGGAUAGGCAGAUGGGAGGGGUAGGGGGGCAUAGCACAAAGGGCACAUUCUAGUAGCAGUGUUGUAGCUCGUAGUUUUAGGUCAGUGUUUCUCAACCCGGUCCUCAGGAGCCCCUGUCCAGUCCACGUUUUUGCUCCCUCCCAGCUCCCAGCCAGACAGCCUACUUUUUUGCUCUCUACUGGGAGUUGGGAGGGAGCAAAAACAUGGACUGCUGGGGACCCACAUGGACCGGGUUGGGAAACACUAUUAGGUCAUUCACAGGAUUUUUGGAGGAGUCUGUCCACUCCAGUUCCUGCACUCCAGGCACGCCUGUUAGGAGUCCGUAUACUCCGGCUGAGUGUCCGUGUUCAGUCUCAGACUGGCUUUGUUAUCACGAGAUCAGGCUGUUCUUGCAUAGUUUUGAAUUUUACUCCUAACACUGGGAAAUGUAAUUGCUGUUCGAUUACUCCCAUGUUGUCUUGUAAAAGAUUGCUUAAAUUAAGGUACAAGUUAACUUCAAGAAAAAAGUUUGUUUCUUAUAUUAUACUCCAUUAAGGAAUGUUUAGAAUUAUAUUUCUCCAAUGUGGAUGUAGCUGAUAAUAUACCAUUUUCUUCGUAAAAGAAUUCACUGUGUGAAAAUUUGUUUGCAUUUUUGUAUAAUACAAUCUGCUUCUUGUUUCUUUUGACUUGGGAAGGGAUGACAAACUGGAAGUUUGGGGGAAAAAUAUAAAAAAAAACUGUGAAAUUAAAAAUGUAAGUUAUGUGUAACAGUGAUUCUUUACUGGCAGGGACUGUGAUUAAAUAAUUGUAAAUCU
Molecule: non-coding RNA, 2386 nt
Organism: Paramormyrops kingsleyae
Lineage: Eukaryota; Metazoa; Chordata; Actinopteri; Osteoglossiformes; Mormyridae
Source: RefSeq, a predicted model, not a curated record